GUGCCAGCCGCCGCGGUAAUACAGAGGGUGCGAGCGUUAAUCGGAAUUACUGGGCGUAAAGCGCGCGUAGGCGGCUAUACAAGUCGAGUGUGAAAUCCCCGGGCUCAACCUGGGAACUGCAUUCGAGACUGUAUGGCUUGAGUAUGGGAGAGGGAGGCGGAAUUUCAGGUGUAGCGGUGAAAUGCGUAGAUAUCUGAAGGAACAUCAGUGGCGAAAGCGGCCUCCUGGACCAAUACUGACGCUCAUGUGCGAAAGCGUGGGGAGCAAACAGGAUUAGAAACCCGCGUAGUCC
RNAcentral lists this ribosomal RNA (292 nucleotides) under uncultured bacterium. RNAcentral describes it as "partial 16S ribosomal RNA". It matches the Rfam family "Bacterial small subunit ribosomal RNA", at positions 505 to 796 of the family's 1533-position model. The record is from RNAcentral.